UUGCUGUGAUGACUUAUCUUAGGACACCUUUGGAGUACUCAUGAAAAAAAAAAGUGAUUUCUGAGCAAC
Molecule: small nucleolar RNA, 69 nt
Filed under: Callipepla squamata (scaled quail)
Lineage: Eukaryota; Metazoa; Chordata; Aves; Galliformes; Odontophoridae
Description: Small nucleolar RNA SNORD58
Rfam family: Small nucleolar RNA SNORD58
About the family: snoRNA U58 is found in introns 1, 3 and 6 of the ribosomal protein RPL17 gene in humans. U58 is a member of the C/D class of snoRNA which contain C (UGAUGA) and D (CUGA) box motifs.
Source: Rfam by way of RNAcentral